RNAcentral lists this transfer RNA (67 nucleotides) under Dipodomys ordii (Ord's kangaroo rat). It matches the Rfam family "tRNA". From Rfam's summary of the family: Transfer RNA (tRNA) molecules are approximately 80 nucleotides in length. Their secondary structure includes four short double-helical elements and three loops (D, anti-codon, and T loops). Further hydrogen bonds mediate the characteristic L-shaped molecular structure. tRNAs have two regions of fundamental functional importance: the anti-codon, which is responsible for specific mRNA codon recognition, and the 3' end, to which the tRNAs corresponding amino acid is attached (by aminoacyl-tRNA synthetases). tRNAs cope with the degeneracy of the genetic code in two manners: having more than one tRNA (with a specific anti-codon) for a particular amino acid; and 'wobble' base-pairing, i.e. permitting non-standard base-pairing at the 3rd anti-codon position. The record is from Rfam by way of RNAcentral. Lineage: Eukaryota; Metazoa; Chordata; Mammalia; Rodentia; Heteromyidae.
GGUAAUGUGACUUAGUGGUAGAGUGCUUGCCUAGUAUGAAAGUCCUAGGUUCGAUUCCUCAGUACCA